Molecule: ribosomal RNA, 411 nt
Filed under: uncultured bacterium
Lineage: Bacteria
Description: bacterial SSU rRNA
Rfam family: Bacterial small subunit ribosomal RNA
Source: RNAcentral
GUGGGGAAUAUUGCACAAUGGGCGCAAGCCUGAUGCAGCGACGCCGCGUGAGGGAUGACGGCCUUUGGGUUGUAAACCUCUUUCAGCAGGGAAGAAGCGCAAGUGACGGUACCUGCAGAAGAAGCACCGGCUAACUACGUGCCAGCAGCCGCGGUAAUACGUAGGGUGCGAGCGUUGUCCGGAAUUAUUGGGCGUAAAGAGCUUGUAGGCGGUUUGUCGCGUCUGCUGUGAAAAUCCGGGGCUCAACCCCGGACUUGCAGUGGGUACGGGCAGACUAGAGUGUGGUAGGGGAGACUGGAAUUCCUGGUGUAGCGGUGAAAUGCGCAGAUAUCAGGAGGAACACCGAUGGCGAAGGCAGGUCUCUGGGCCAUAACUGACGCUGAGAAGCGAAAGCAUGGGGAGCGAACAGGA